CGUAGGUGGCGAGCGUUAUCCGGAUUUAUUGGGUUUAAAGGGUGCGUAGGCGGCUGAUUAAGUCAGCGGUGAAAGGUAGCAGCUUAACUGUUUUACAUGCCGUUGAUACUGGUUAGCUUGAGUUGACAGAAGGCAGAUAGAAUUUCUGGUGUAGCGGUGAAAUGCUUAGAUACCAGGAGGAAUACCGAUUGCGAAGGCAGUCUGCUGCAGUCACACUGACGCUGAGGCACGAAAGUGCGGGGAUCAAACAGGAUUAGAUACCCUGGUAGUCCGCACAGUAAACGAUGAUUACUAGUUGUUGGCGCAAGUCAGUGACCAAGGGAAACCGAUAAGUAAUCCACCUGGGGAGUACGCCGGCAACGGUG
RNAcentral lists this ribosomal RNA (365 nucleotides) under uncultured organism. RNAcentral describes it as "bacterial SSU rRNA". It matches the Rfam family "Bacterial small subunit ribosomal RNA", at positions 526 to 896 of the family's 1533-position model. The record is from RNAcentral.